UACAGAGGGUGCAAGCGUUGUUCGGAAUUAUUGGGCGUAAAGGGCGCGUAGGCGGUGCGGUAAGUCUGUAGUGAAAUCUCUGGGCUCAACUCAGAGUCUGCUGCAGAAACUGCCGUGCUUGAGUGUGGGAGAGGUGAGUGGAAUUCCCGGUGUAGCGGUGAAAUUCGUAGAUAUUGGGAAGAACACCGGUGGCGAAGGCGGCGACCUGGUCCGAUACUGACGCUGAGGCACGAAAGCCAGGGGAGCAAACGGG
RNAcentral lists this ribosomal RNA (253 nucleotides) under uncultured bacterium. RNAcentral describes it as "partial 16S ribosomal RNA". It matches the Rfam family "Bacterial small subunit ribosomal RNA", at positions 524 to 776 of the family's 1533-position model. The record is from RNAcentral.